GACGAACGCUGGCGGCGUGCCUAAUACAUGCAAGUCGAGCGGUCCCUUCGGGGAUAGCGGCGGACGGGUGAGUAACACGUAGGUAACCUGCCUCCAAGACCGGGAUAACAUUCGGAAACGAAUGCUAAGACCGGAUACGCAAGUGCCUCGCAUGGGGAGCUUGGGAAACACGGUGCAAGCUGUGGCUUGGAGAUGGGCCUGCGGCGCAUUAGCUAGUUGGUGGGGUAACGGCUCACCAAGGCGACGAUGCGUAGCCGACCUGAGAGGGUGAACGGCCACACUGGGACUGAGACACGGCCCAGACUCCUACGGGAGGCAGCAGUAGGGAAUCUUCCACAAUGGGCGAAAGCCUGAUGGAGCAACGCCGCGUGAGUGAGGAAGGCUUUCGGGUCGUAAAGCUCUGUUGCCAGGGAAGAAUAAGGGUGAAGUAACUACUCAUCCGAUGACGGUACCUGAGAAGAAAGCCCCGGCUAACUACGUGCCAGCAGCCGCAG
This 494-nucleotide ribosomal RNA is filed under the name uncultured bacterium. Its description in RNAcentral is "bacterial SSU rRNA". It matches the Rfam family "Bacterial small subunit ribosomal RNA", at positions 28 to 520 of the family's 1533-position model. The record is from RNAcentral.